GCAGUCGACGGAAAGGCCCUGCUUUUGUGGGGUGCUCGAGUGGCGAACGGGUGAGUAACACGUGAGUAACCUGCCCUUGACUUUGGGAUAACUUCAGGAAACUGGGGCUAAUACCGGAUAGGAGCUCCUGCUGCAUGGUGGGGGUUGGAAAGUUUCGGCGGUUGGGGAUGGACUCGCGGCUUAUCAGCUUGUUGGUGGGGUAGUGGCUUACCAAGGCUUUGACGGGUAGCCGGCCUGAGAGGGUGACCGGCCACAUUGGGACUGAGAUACGGCCCAGACUCCUACGGGAGGCAGCAGUGGGGAAUAUUGCACAAUGGGCGGAAGCCUGAUGCAGCAACGCCGCGUGCGGGAUGACGGCCUUCGGGUUGUAAACCGCUUUCGCCUGUGACGAAGCGUGAGUGACGGUAAUGGGUAAAGAAGCACCGGCUAACUACGUGCCAGCAGCCGCGGUGAUACGUAGGGUGCGAGCGUUGUCCGGAUUUAUUGGGCGUAAAGGGCUCGUAGGUGGUUGAUCGCGUCGGAAGUGUAAUCUUGGGGCUUAACCCUGAGCGUGCUUUCGAUACGGGUUGACUUGAGGAAGGUAGGGGAGAAUGGAAUUCCUGGUGGAGCGGUGGAAUGCGCAGAUAUCAGGAGGAACACCAGUGGCGAAGGCGGUUCUCUGGGCCUUUCCUGACGCUGAGGAGCGAAAGCGUGGGGAGCGAACAGGCUUAGAUACCCUGGUAGUCCACGCUGUAAACGGUGGGUACUAGGUGUGGGGUCCAUUCCACGGGUUCCGUGCCGUAGCUAACGCUUUAAGUACCCCGCCUGGGGAGUACGGCCGCAAGGCUAAAACUCAAAGGAAUUGACGGGGCCCCGCACAAGCGGCGGAGCAUGCGGAUUAAUUCGAUGCAACGCGUAGAACCUUACCUGGGUUUGACAUGGAUCGGGAGCGCUCAGAGAUGGGUGUGCCUCUUUUGGGGUCGGUUCACAGGUGGUGCAUGGCUGUCGUCAGCUCGUGUCGUGAGAUGUUGGGUUAAGUCCCGCAACGAGCGCAACCCUUGUUCACUGUUGCCAGCACGUUAUGGUGGGGACUCAGUGGAGACCGCCGGGGUCAACUCGGAGGAAGGUGGGGAUGACGUCAAGUCAUCAUGCCCCUUAUGUCCAGGGCUUCACGCAUGCUACAAUGGCUGGUACAGAGAGUGGCGAGCCUGUGAGGGUGAGCGAAUCUCGGAAAGCCGGUCUCAGUUCGGAUUGGGGUCUGCAACUCGACCUCAUGAAGUCGGAGUCGCUAGUAAUCGCAGAUCAGCAACGCUGCGGUGAAUACGUUCCCGGGGCUUGUACACACCGCCCGUCAAGUCAUGAAAGUUGGUAACACCCGAAGCCGGUGGCCUAACCGUUG
RNAcentral lists this ribosomal RNA (1378 nucleotides) under Cutibacterium acnes. RNAcentral describes it as "bacterial SSU rRNA". It matches the Rfam family "Bacterial small subunit ribosomal RNA". The record is from RNAcentral. Lineage: Bacteria; Bacillati; Actinomycetota; Actinomycetes; Propionibacteriales; Propionibacteriaceae.